Molecule: ribosomal RNA, 253 nt
Filed under: uncultured bacterium
Lineage: Bacteria
Description: partial 16S ribosomal RNA
Rfam family: Bacterial small subunit ribosomal RNA
Source: RNAcentral
UACGGAGGGUGCAAGCAUUAAUCGGAUUUAUUGGGCGUAAAGGGGGCGUAGGCGGAAAUGAAAGCCAGACGUGAAAUCCCGGGGCUCAACCCCGGAACUGCAUUUGGAACUCCAUUUCUAGAGGAUAGUCGGAGAAAACAGAACUCUGCAUGUAGCGGUGAAAUGCGUAGAUAUGCAGAAGAAUACCGGUGGCGAAGGCGGUUUUCUAGAUUAUUCCUGACGCUGAGGCCCGAAAGCGUGGGGAUCAAACAGG